CCUACGGGUGGCAGCAGUGGGGGAUAUUGCACAAUGGGGGGAACUCUGAUGCAGCGACGCCGCGUGGGUGAAGAAGCGCCUCGGCGCGUAAAGCCCUGUCAGCAGGGAAGAAAAUGACGGUACCUGAAGCAGAAGCCCCGUCUAACUACGUGCCAGCAGCCGCGGGAAUACGUAGGGGGCAAGCGUUAUCCGGAUUUACUGGGUGUAAAGGGGGCGCAGACGGGGAUGCAAGCCAGGAGUGAAAGCCCGGGGCCCAACCCCGGGACUGCUCUUGAAACUGCGUGGCUGGAGUGCAGGAGGGGCAGGCGGAAUUCCUGGUGUAGCGGUGAAAUGCGUAGAUAUCAGGAAGAACACCGGUGGCGAAGGCGGCCGGCUGGACUGCAACUGACGUUGAGGCCCGAAAGCGUGGGGAGCAAACAGGAUUAGAUACCCCGGUAGUC
RNAcentral lists this ribosomal RNA (440 nucleotides) under uncultured bacterium. RNAcentral describes it as "partial 16S ribosomal RNA". It matches the Rfam family "Bacterial small subunit ribosomal RNA", at positions 338 to 795 of the family's 1533-position model. The record is from RNAcentral.